Molecule: ribosomal RNA, 253 nt
Filed under: uncultured bacterium
Lineage: Bacteria
Description: partial 16S ribosomal RNA
Rfam family: Bacterial small subunit ribosomal RNA
Source: RNAcentral
UACGAAGGUGGCAAGCGUUAUUCGGAUUUACUGGGCGUACAGGGAGCGUAGGCGGUUCGGUAAGCCCUCUGUGAAAUCUCCAGGCUUAACCUGGAACAGUCGGAGGGGACUGCUGGGCUAGAGGACGGGAGAGGGGCGCGGAAUUCACGGUGUAGCAGUGAAAUGCGUAGAUAUCGUGAGGAACACCAGAGGCGAAGGCGGCUCACUGGACCGUUGUUGACGCUGAGGUGCGAAAGCGUGGGGAGCAAACAGG